UACGUAGGGUGCGAGCGUUGUCCGGAAUUAUUGGGCGUAAAGCGCUCGCAGGUGGCCCGAUGCGUCGUGCGUGAAAGACCCCGGCUCAACUGGGGGGUGUCGUGCGAUACGGUCGGGCUGGAGGCCAGUAGGGGGAUGCGGAAUUCCGGGUGUAGUGGUGGAAUGCGUAGAGAUCCGGAGGAACACCAGCGGCGAAGGCGGCAUCCUGGACUGGUCCUGACACUCAUGAGCGAAAGCGUGGGGAGCGAUCCGG
This 253-nucleotide ribosomal RNA is filed under the name uncultured bacterium. Its description in RNAcentral is "partial 16S ribosomal RNA". It matches the Rfam family "Bacterial small subunit ribosomal RNA", at positions 524 to 776 of the family's 1533-position model. The record is from RNAcentral.